UUUAUAUCUCAGUGUGCUUCCA
Molecule: non-coding RNA, 22 nt
Filed under: Arabidopsis thaliana (thale cress)
Lineage: Eukaryota; Viridiplantae; Streptophyta; Magnoliopsida; Brassicales; Brassicaceae
Source: RNAcentral